CUACGGGAGGCAGCAGUGGGGAAUAUUGGACAAUGGGCGAAAGCCUGAUCCAGCCAUCCCGCGUGAAGGAUUAAGGUCCUAUGGAUUGUAAACUUCUUUUCUCUGGGAAUAAAAAGUGGAGUUCACUCCGCCCUGAAGGUACCAGAGGAAUAAGCACCGGCUAACUCCGUGCCAGCAGCCGCGGUAAUACGGAGGGUGCAAGCGUUAUCCGGAUUUACUGGGUUUAAAGGGUGCGUAGGUGGCUUUAUAAGUCAGUGGUGAAAGCCCGGAGCUUAACUCCGGAACUGCCAUUGAUACUGUUUAGCUUGAAUCAAGUAGAGGUGGAUGGAAUAUUACAUGUAGCGGUGAAAUGCUUAGAGAUGUAAUAGAACACCAAUUGCGAAGGCAGUUCACUAUGCUUGCAUUGACACUGAGGCACGAAAGCGUGGGGAUCAAACAGGAUUAGAUACCCGAGUAGUCC
RNAcentral lists this ribosomal RNA (460 nucleotides) under uncultured bacterium. RNAcentral describes it as "bacterial SSU rRNA". It matches the Rfam family "Bacterial small subunit ribosomal RNA", at positions 339 to 796 of the family's 1533-position model. The record is from RNAcentral.